AGUGAACGCUGGCGGUAGGCCUAACACAUGCAAGUCGAACGGCAGCACAGUAAGAGCUUGCUCUUACGGGUGGCGAGAGGCGGACGGGUGAGGAAUACAUCGGAAUCUACUUUUUCGUGGGGGAUAACGUAGGGAAACUUACGCUAAUACCGCAUACGACCUACGGGUGAAAGCAGGGGAUCUUCGGACCUUGCGCGAUUGAAUGAGCCGAUGUCGGAUUAGCUAGUUGGCGGGGUAAAGGCCCACCAAGGCGACGAUCCGUAGCUGGUCUGAGAGGAUGAUCAGCCACACUGGAACUGAGACACGGUCCAGACUCCUACGGGAGGCAGCAGUGGGGAAUAUUGGACAAUGGGCGCAAGCCUGAUCCAGCCAUACCGCGUGGGUGAAGAAGGCCUUCGGGUUGUAAAGCCCUUUUGUUGGGAAAGAAAAGCAGCAGGUUAAUACCCCGCUGUUCUGACGGUACCCAAAGAAUAAGCACCGGCUAACUUCGUG
Molecule: ribosomal RNA, 492 nt
Filed under: uncultured bacterium
Lineage: Bacteria
Description: partial 16S ribosomal RNA
Rfam family: Bacterial small subunit ribosomal RNA
Source: RNAcentral